AGGGAUUUAGCUCAGCAGGCACAAGCACCUGCCUGGCAAGCAGGAGGUUGUGAGUUCAAUCCCUG
Molecule: transfer RNA, 65 nt
Filed under: Cavia porcellus (domestic guinea pig)
Lineage: Eukaryota; Metazoa; Chordata; Mammalia; Rodentia; Caviidae
Rfam family: tRNA
About the family: Transfer RNA (tRNA) molecules are approximately 80 nucleotides in length. Their secondary structure includes four short double-helical elements and three loops (D, anti-codon, and T loops). Further hydrogen bonds mediate the characteristic L-shaped molecular structure. tRNAs have two regions of fundamental functional importance: the anti-codon, which is responsible for specific mRNA codon recognition, and the 3' end, to which the tRNAs corresponding amino acid is attached (by aminoacyl-tRNA synthetases). tRNAs cope with the degeneracy of the genetic code in two manners: having more than one tRNA (with a specific anti-codon) for a particular amino acid; and 'wobble' base-pairing, i.e. permitting non-standard base-pairing at the 3rd anti-codon position.
Source: Rfam by way of RNAcentral